This 29-nucleotide non-coding RNA is filed under the name Homo sapiens (human). Lineage: Eukaryota; Metazoa; Chordata; Mammalia; Primates; Hominidae. The record is from RNAcentral.
UGAAUGUACAGUACAGUGGUGGUUCAAGA